Molecule: small RNA, 1411 nt
Filed under: Populus cathayana
Lineage: Eukaryota; Viridiplantae; Streptophyta; Magnoliopsida; Malpighiales; Salicaceae
Description: miR482-miR1448 polycistron non-coding RNA
Source: RNAcentral
CAGGUCCACUCUCCACUCUCAACUAGUGGCCAGAAUCUUUCCUUUCUUUUUUUUUUACAUUUUUUUUUCCCCCAACCACUUUUUUUGGCAUGGCCCGGGGCCAUGGACUUUGGGGCCUCAAACGGGUCUUUUUUUUUUUUUUUUCUUUUUUUUUAAAUUUUUUUUAAUUAAAAUUUAUUAAAAAAUUUAUCCUUCCUUAAAUAAUUUUUCCAAAUUUUAAAAUUAUUACCCAUUUAAAAAUUUAUUAAUUUUGGUUUUCCCACCACCUGGAUUUAAAAUUAAAUUUUUAAAAAAACAAACCAUUUAAUUCCGAAAUAUUACCGCACCCCACCUAGUAAAUGGUUUCAAACGCGUCUUUUUGAAACUGGUGUUCAGAGGUUAACAAAAGCACUUUCUGUAAGAAGUAAUUUUUUCAAAAAUCAUAUCCAACGCACUUUGCUAGUUUGCUUUCUUUGCCUAUAUUAACACCAUCUAGAAAGCCAUCGUCUUCAACUUGCUCCUGUCUAUGGUGUGUAAUAGAUGAGAGAAACGGAGAGUCCUAGCAAGUCUUUGGAGAUGGGAGAGUAUGCAAGAAGAAAAAAUUCAUGAUUUAAUAUUCCUUCUUGCCUACUCCUCCCAUUCCAUCUGCUUUCUGCGACUCCUCUCUUUCCUUAUUCUAGACAAAAGCGUGAUCUAAAAUUAAUCAAGGAGCAAGAGGGAAAGGAAAGAGGGUUGCUGGGAGUUACGGGUAUGGGAGGAUUGGACAGUACUGCUUGGUUUUAAUUAACCAAAGUCUGUUCUUUCCAACGCCUCCCAUACCGGUGAUCUCCAGCUGUUUCCUCCCUUUCCCUUGCUUGUCCUGCUUCAGAUCCUUCAGUUUGGUAAGAUCUGUCCUUGUAUGCUUGUCGUUGGUCACAUGAUGAUGGUGGUGAUGCGUGCUCUUCUUUUGUUUUUUAAAAAAGAACUUCAUUUCGUUGACUUGUUAAUCUUGCUUUUACGCGGGAUAUUGUUACAUGUCUUGUAUAAUGAUUUUUAUUAGCCCUUUUUUUAUGCUCAGGUGACAAAAGCGAGUUGUUGGUUAUGGAGUAUCGUUGAAAAGAUUAGAGGAAGUUUUGAUCUGUUGGUAGAUCUGAGUAAAUCAUUUGUCAAUCCAGCUAGAUUUAAUAUUAGCAACUGGUAAAUCAUGUGUUUUGAAAUGACAACUGUGAUAUUCACAACAUAUCUGUUCGCGCCUCUUCGAUUCCGGGGAUGCUGUCUCAGUUAGUUCUAUACUGCAGUGCUUAAUUAGCUCUGAUGUUCCUUGAUUUGUUCUUUGAAUUAGGAAUUUAUUUUGAGCAUCUGUCCACGCGUUUCUUCUAUUAUGGAUGACCCCAACAUGAUUCAUACGAUGGGUGGAUGAAAUCAUAUCAUACGGGUGUGGUCAGCUUUGUUU